GAAGGAAGAGGGUGGGAGAGAGAGGUGUUGCAGGUUCAUUGUUGAUGGCUACCACUCCACUGCAGCUCUGUCUCUUAUCUCGUGGAUUCUAACUGCAUCAGAGGUUCAUAUAGGCUUAGAAACUUAGCCCAACAGCUCCGUCUCUACAAACCUCCACCUUCCUUCGACGACGAUGAUAUUGAGAAGCAACGAAUCGAAGAAAGUGCAGGGAAGGUAAUUUCUUAUAUGGGCAUUGCAGAAUCAACAACACCAAUUACUCACCCAGAAAAAUUCAAGCCCAAGUGAGCUGCGGUGCCUGUCUGCCUCUUCGUAGGUGAUGGUGGGGAUCUCUGGUUCAUCCUCAUCAAACUUUUAAUUUUAUGAGACAAGUCGAGUUAUUGUUGCAGGUGGAGUGUCGGUGCCUGGAGGGAAAGCAGAGGAGGGCAACGCAGAUGACAGAGGCGCGGCCACUGUUGGACAAAGUUGUGAUGGACCGAAGGCCAUACAUAAUCGAAGGAAGGCCUUUAAUGGCUGAUUAUGUAUCGUCAUCCACUGGGUUAUGAGCAAGGAUAACGAAGAAUGGUUGCUGGACUUUGUAGUACCACAAUAACAGUUGAAGAAAAAAAAAAAAAGAAGAUGAAGAAGAUUAACAAUGUUCUACCACCGUAGGCCAAUGGAGAAGAAUUCACCACUUACAUUGCUUGUAAUUCACUUCUGUUUUAUUUCUGCUUAUGGAAGAGGGAGACUAAUGGAAAAGGAACUUAUAUCUGCUCUCACUCCAUUGUUGAGUUGCAGGCUGCAUGCCAGGAGCUUCAACUUGCCAAGGAGAAGAAAGAAGCGGAAUGAAUCCAGUUGCAUCAGAUAUGCACGAACAGUGACAAACGAAAGGUUGAGUCGAUCUCGUUAGGCAAGCUUUGUGGUCAAACCCUCUUAUUUAUAGAGAAUUGGUUCAUAAUAAUCUACUACUAGUGGGUUAUCUCAAGUGGACAAGCCAUGAAGGAACCGGGUCAAGACCAGUCCAACCCAGUUCAAUUAACAAUUGCAUAUAAAAAGAAGAAGCACCAGCACCAAUGCAACUCGCCAAGGAGAAGAAAGAAGGUUGCUUAAUAAUGUGGGACUGACAAGCAUCGCAUGCAGUGGGCUUCAGAUCUUCAUGGUUGCUUUCUAGAUGCCAUCACACAACUUAGUGGACCAGAUAGUGGGUAUUUUUAUUCAGGAAUGAGAACAUAUAGUGCUGGUUUAUUUUCUUAAGUGGAAGCAAUUGGAAUAUUAUUUCAUCAUUUAAUCAACAUCAUCACCCGACAAUUUGACUA
Long non-coding RNA from Macadamia integrifolia, 1292 nucleotides. RefSeq lists it as uncharacterized. Lineage: Eukaryota; Viridiplantae; Streptophyta; Magnoliopsida; Proteales; Proteaceae. The transcript has 3 exons. The record is from RefSeq and is a predicted model, not a curated record.